GAGACAGCAGCCGCCGCGGUAAUACAGAGGGUGCGAGCGUUAAUCGGAUUUACUAGGCGUAAAGCGUGCGUAGGCGGCUUUUUAAGUCGGAUGUGAAAUCCCUGAGCUUAACUUAGGAAUUGCAUUCGAUACUGGGAAGCUAGAGUAUGGGAGAGGAUGGUAGAAUUCCAGGUGUAGCGGUGAAAUGCGUAGAGAUCUGGAGGAAUACCGAUGGCGAAGGCAGCCAUCUGGCCUAAUACUGACGCUGAGGUACGAAAGCAUGGGGAGCAAACAGGAUUAGAUACCCCCGUAGUCCCUGUCUCUUAUAC
Molecule: ribosomal RNA, 308 nt
Filed under: uncultured bacterium
Lineage: Bacteria
Description: partial 16S ribosomal RNA
Rfam family: Bacterial small subunit ribosomal RNA
Source: RNAcentral